Vitis vinifera (wine grape) is the source of this 1511-nucleotide long non-coding RNA. RefSeq lists it as uncharacterized. NCBI's taxonomy places the organism in Eukaryota, Viridiplantae, Streptophyta, Magnoliopsida, Vitales, Vitaceae. The record is from RefSeq and is a predicted model, not a curated record. The transcript has 2 exons.
UAGUUAGUGUUUAGAGUUAGCUUUUGGUUUGGCUUCCAAAGCUGUUGUUUUCUAGUUUAGCUUUUAGAGUUAUUUUUUUUUUUUGGUUUGGCUUCCAGAGCUUUUAUUUUCUUGGUUUAGUGUUUAGAGUUAGCUUUUUGGUUUGGCUUCCAGAGCUUUUAUUUUCUCAGUUUAGUGCUUAGAGUCGGCCUUGUCAUCCAGAGUCACAACUCCUGGCGUUCAUGUCCACUGGCAUUGCGCAUCUUACCUUCAUGGUCUUGCAUUCGUCCUCGGCUUUCCUCACUUCGUUACCCGGUGUUUAUCGCAUAUUCAUCUCGUACUCCAGGGUGGUUCGACCGUUACUCAUCUUUGACGUUGAUCUCUUGGGUCACUUUUGGAGACAUCUUAGAGAAAGUGUGGAUCCUUGAUGCAAACUUAGAGGCGUUUUGAGAUGCGUUUUUCUUUUAGGGUUAGAGCCUUUGUGUUCAUCUGUUUGGCUUGAGUGAGUUCUUAUUUUACUAGUGUCCCUGUGGGGGUCUCUUUGGUUCUUCGGUAGAGUUCACUUCAUUACACUCAUUAUUCACACUUUCUUUUCACUCUAGUGUUCAUAUUCCUUACAUUUGUAAACUCUACCGAAGAGGGGCAUAUUUGUAGACCCCCUCAACUGGGGGCAGGUUUUUUUUUUUUUUUUGCAUUUUUUGCAUUGAUUUUCUUUUUUUUUUCUCCUUUUUUGCUGCUUUCUUUAUCCACCCGAGGACGGCUGGAAGCGAAAACGGGGGGAGAAGGCAGAGCUUUUGGGCUGGCAGAUGGGACGGGGAUACGGCUGGCUUGCUGAGGAAGACACGAGAGAAAAGAAGAAGGAGAGAAAGGAAGGGAAUCCGGGGGGGAGAGAGGAGGAGCUCGGAGGGAAAAACAGAGGAAGCUGAGGGAUUUUAGAGGUUGCAAGAAGGAAGAUAUCCGGGAGGAAAACGAGAAAGGAAAAGGAUCUGAGGAUCCACUCACCCUGACUUCUCUGGGUUCAGAGUUUCCAGGCUUCAAAAGUAAUUUUGCUCGAAACCCGGCCUUCCACUGCAAAAAAAAAUGAUUCUAUAUGCCUUGGUUGUCUUUGAAUUUCCCCCGGUUUUCGACGCUGCGGGGGCCGCGAAGUGUGGGCAUCUGUGGGUGAUUCUAUCAUUUUCAGCUCGUCUCUUGCCUUGAUAGUUAAUAUAAUUUUUGCGUUUGACGUUGAAUGUUGUGUGUGCAUCUUUGGGUGAUUUUGUCAUGUUCAGUUCAGAUGUCGUUUUCAUAGUUGAUAUUUUCAGUUUUGAUGUUGAAGAUUGGUGAUAUAUAGUGUAUCUCUGUAGAAAUAAAUACUGUGGAAUUCUGUAAUAAUUCUUGUGGAAGAAGGAGAGUGUGAGGGAAAAGAUUAUUUAAUUGGUUGCAAAAAGUUAAUGGCCACGUGCAAGCCAAAGGAAUGUUCUUGGGGUAACAAUAAAAAAACCCCAAGCCUCUUUAUGGUCCAGGUGUUAGCAUAUAAGACAUGAGUUUUAUCU